Molecule: long non-coding RNA, 300 nt
Organism: Salvia splendens (bonfire salvia)
Lineage: Eukaryota; Viridiplantae; Streptophyta; Magnoliopsida; Lamiales; Lamiaceae
Exons: 3
Source: RefSeq, a predicted model, not a curated record
GUUCUUUUACAUCUACCAUCUUUGGAUAGACAACGACGUGAAGAGGAGUUGAAAGGAAUGGAAGUUGUCUUCUUAUUUAAUGAAUGUCCAUGGCCAUAAAAUUGCUUGCUAUACCCAUGUGAUGAAAAAUGGUUGAUGUUAUUUCCUCUAAUUGCUUGGCGGGGGUACACAUCUUUUCGUAAGGAUGAAACUGAAUCCUCUGGCAUAUGGCAUUCGAUGGGAUGAGGUAUUGGAUAUGGGCCUCCUUACCCUUGGACAAUGGGAAUUCUUGGUUUCUUGCUGAGAUUUAUGCAAUGCCGA